RNAcentral lists this transfer RNA (68 nucleotides) under Cyclura pinguis. RNAcentral's name for it is "tRNA-Ala". The record is from RNAcentral. Lineage: Eukaryota; Metazoa; Chordata; Lepidosauria; Squamata; Iguanidae.
GAGGCCUUAGCUUAAUUAAAGUGUCUGAGUUGCAUUCAGAGGAUGCGUUUUAAUCUUCGCAGGUCUUA